GGUGCAGCGAGGAGCCGUGGAGCUCGGGGACGCCCCGAGGGGUCUCAUGAAGCUCAUUCUUGUCUCAGAUUUGCUAUUAUGCCACCAAGGAAGAUGACCUUGAACUCCUGAUCCUUCUGCCUCCACUUUCUGAGUGCUGGGCUUGAGGUGCUGCAGGAGACUCCUGAGGAAAUUCCAGUUUCUUGUGGACAGCCAAAGGAAGGACAUCGCCUCCAUGACAGCUGGAAGUAAUUCUAGAAGACGAUGUUCCGCCUCCCACCAAAGGUUGUCCUCAAGCUGCUGAAUUCGGUUGCUGUUUUCCCUUUCGAGCAGAGGACUGUGAUCUCAGAAUGUGUAACCCAAAUUGAAGGUGUGCCUUCUAGCCUCAAG
Molecule: long non-coding RNA, 369 nt
Organism: Chionomys nivalis (European snow vole)
Lineage: Eukaryota; Metazoa; Chordata; Mammalia; Rodentia; Cricetidae
Exons: 6
Source: RefSeq, a predicted model, not a curated record